CUGGACUGAGCUACAAUCAUCCAGGAGAUGCAGGAGUGAAGCUGCUGUCUGCUGGACUGGAGGAUCCAGACUGGAGACUGGACACUCUCAGGGUGGACCAUUGUGGACCACAGAGACUGAGACCUGGUGUGAGGAAGUAUUCCUGUGAACUGGAACUGGAUGAAAACACAGUGAACAGAGACCUCAGACUGUCUGACAACAACAGGACGGUGACAUGGGCGACAGAGGGUCAGUCAUAUCCUGAUCAUCCAGACAGAUUUGACUAUUGGCCUCAGCUGCUGUGUAGAACUGGUCUGACUGGUCGCUGUUACUGGGAGGUCGAGUGGAGAGGAGUGGUUCAUAUAUCAGUGAGUUACAGAAGAAUCAGAAGGAAAGGAAACACUGAGGACUGUUGGUUUGGAGGAAAUGAUCAGUCCUGGAGUCUGAUCUGCUCUGAUGAUUGUGGUCGUUACUCUGUCUGUCACAACAACAGAAAAACAUCCAUCUCCUCCUCCUGUGGCUCUCACAGAGUAGCAGUGUAUGUGGACUGUCCU
This is a long non-coding RNA of Seriola dumerili (greater amberjack), 533 nucleotides long. RefSeq lists it as uncharacterized. Lineage: Eukaryota; Metazoa; Chordata; Actinopteri; Carangiformes; Carangidae. The transcript has 3 exons. The record is from RefSeq and is a predicted model, not a curated record.